RNAcentral lists this unclassified non-coding RNA (2874 nucleotides) under Hevea brasiliensis (rubber tree). Lineage: Eukaryota; Viridiplantae; Streptophyta; Magnoliopsida; Malpighiales; Euphorbiaceae. The record is from RNAcentral.
AGAAUAUCCUAUGCAUGUAUUAUGUAAAGAAAAUUACAAGAUGCUCCCUUUGGUCUGCAAUUUCAUUCUUCUUCUUCUUCGUCAAUGAUUUUGAUGGUAAUUUUUUUAUUCCUUAAUUAUUUAUUUGAGUUGGGAACAGAUCUAGAUGUUCUGGUAUGCGAUGUAUCACGCGUGCUCCAUUUCCAUUACCACUCAUCUCUAAAAGCCUCCACUUUUGACUCCUCUCCCUCCCAUACCCAUCUCCACCACCAUGACAGCACCCACCACCAACGCCACCAGAACAAAAUUUCCUCGCUCAAAAUCCAAAUGCAUACUCUUUACCAUCAUUGCUUCUGUCCUGCUUUUGUCUCUCGUCGCUAUUAUCCUCUUUUUUACCCUUCGUCACAAAAUCUCACAUUCCCACUCUCCAAAUUCAUCUUCAAGCUCAAACUUACCAAUAGCUGCUAUCCAAUUAGCCUGCCAAGCCACACAACACCGGGAAACUUGUCAAACCUCUCUAUCUCAGUCCAAUCUUGUCCCUCCCAAUCCUACCCCACUUCAAAUUAUACAAUCUGCAUUGUGGGUCUCCUCCCAAAACCUCACAAUUGCACAAUCAAUGUUGAAGUCCCUCCUAGCCUCCGCCGCCAGUAACCAAAACGUCACUAACGUUGUCAAAAGUUGUUUGGAGAUUUUGGGUUUUUCCCAGUACCGCAGUUCAGUGUCGAAUGACACUUUGCCAUUCGGUAAGACCAAAGAUGUUCGUGCUUGGAUGAGUGCGGCGGUGGCUUACCAAUACGAUUGUUAUGGAGGACUGAGUUAUCAAGGCGGCAACUCGCAGGAAGUCAAUGAAACGAAGGCUUUUCUUGACAAUUUGAUUGGGCUCAGCAGCAAUGCUUUAAGCAUGAUUGUCUCUUACGAUUUAUUUGGCAACGAAACCCGGUCCUGGCGACCACCAAAAACAGAGCGAGAUGGGUUCUGGGAGGACCCAAAGUUGCGCGGUGAAAUGGGGUUUAGCGGUGAGUUUCCGUCAAACUUAACAGUGGAUGCGACGGUGUGUAAGAAUGUGAGUAGUGGAUGUUACAAAACGGUACAGGAAGCUGUUAGUGCAGCUCCCAGUAAUGCGACGGCGCGAAGGUUUGUGAUACACAUAAAGGAGGGGGUUUAUGAGGAGAUCGUUAGGGUCCCGAUUGAGAAGAAAAAUGUGGUCUUCUUAGGCGAUGGAAUGGGGAAAACGGUAAUUACAGGGUCGUUGACUGUUGGUCAGCCUGGUGUCAAUACAUAUGAGUCUGCUACUGUUGGUAAGUUUAAACCAUUUCCAAGCUUCUCCAUGACCAUAGUUGGGAAUAUGCUGGAUAUGCCAGCUUUACCAAACCAUGCUUCCUAAGAAGCAGCUUGGUGUGGCACCCGUGGUGCCAAACUGGGCCAGAAUCUGCUUAUUUGCUCCCUUUUUUUUUUCUAUAAAUUAACUCCUGUUUUGAUUUAUUUUAAGGCAAGCUCCACAGAAUCUGCUGCUAAUUCAUGAAUCAGUAUAAAUAAUGUAGGCGUAUACACUAUACUGUGACAUAUAAUUAAUUUUAUUAUAUAUACGCUAUCACAUGAUCUGCAAUUCUGCAUCCACAUCCUGAAGUAUCCGCAUGGUUAAGUAAAUGAAUGUGAAGUCUGAAUUAAAGUGCUUGUUGCUUUCAGUAUUUUUAAUUGCUGAUUUUUCCUGUCAAAAUUCUCUGUUAUAAAUGAAGCAAAUCAUCAAUUGUGUUUUUGUUGUCUGGCCGGUUCAAAGUUUAUGCUUUUGCCUCUGGCCGAUGAUUUGGAAGAAAAAUCAUUACUACAACUUGUAGGCAUGAACAUUUUCAACCCAUUAGUACAAUGUUUUGUGUGUUGAUUUCAUGGAGGUCUCUGAAGGAAAAGAAUUUUGCUGAUGCAUCUGUAUAUAUUUGAAAACUCUAAAAUGAUGCACAUUCUCCAAAUUAGAAAAGAAAUCAAGUGAAAUGUAUCACAAAGCUUUUCUUUAAAAUUCAUGGUCUAUACAUUGUAGUUUGAUAUGUUCUGUAAUUUUGCUGAAGGGGUUCUUGGUGAUGGAUUCAUGGCUAGUGGUGUCACAUUCCAGAAUGCAGCAGGUCCUCCUACCCACCAAGCAGUGGCUUUUAGAUCAGACAGUGAUCUAUCAUAUAUUGAGAACUGUGAAUUCCUAGGCAAUCAAGAUACUUUGUAUGCUCAUUCUCUUCGCCAAUUCUAUAAAUCAUGUCGGAUUCAGGGCAAUGUCGAUUUCAUUUUUGGAAACUCAGCAGCAGUUUUCCAAGAUUGUCAAAUCUUAGUUGUUCCCAGGCAAGAAAAUCCGGAAAAAGGCGAACAAAAUGCUGUCACUGCACACGGCAGGACAGACCCUGCCCAAUCAACAGGUUUUGUGUUUCAAAAUUGUUCGAUCAAUGGCACUGCAGAGUACAUGGCAUUAUACAAUGGCAACCCAAAGGUUCACAGGAAUUACUUGGGAAGGCCUUGGAAGGAAUACUCAAGAGUCAUUUACAUAAAUUGCAAUUUUGAAUCUCUCAUAACAGCAGACGGGUGGAUGCCUUGGAGUGGCGAUUUCGCACUGAAUACGCUAUACUAUGGAGAAUACAAAAAUUCUGGUCCAGGAUCUAAUUUGUCUCAGAGAGUCACCUGGAGCAGUCAGAUUCCGGCAGAGCAUGUAAACACAUAUUCAGCACAGAAUUUCAUUCAAGGAGACGAAUGGAUGCCUACAUCUUCUUGAAUAUUCAAAAUAAAUAAUGCUGUAUACUAACUUUAUUUGUAAUAAUGUUGUGUGCUGCAUUACACUUGUUUACAGAAUCAAUAUGGCGAGUGGUAAUGAAUUUGCUUAAUUUAUAGAUUGAUUACAGGCGUUGUAAUCAAUUUGAACAA